CCUACGGGAGGCAGCAGUGAGGAAUAUUGGUCAAUGGGAGGAAUCCUGAACCAGCCAUGCCGCGUGCAGGACGACGGCUCUACGAGUUGUAAACCUCUUUUGUACCGGGGUAAAAUGCUCUACGAGUAGGGUUUUGAAAGUACGGUACGAAUAAGGAUCGGCUAACUCCGUGCCAGCAGCCGCGGUAAUACGGAGGAUCCGGGCGUUAUCCGGAUUUAUUGGGUUUAAAGGGUGCGUAGGUUGUUUUAUAAGUUAGCGGUGAAAUACCGAGGCUCAACAUCGGGGCUGCCGCUGAUACUGUAGGCCUAGAGUGCGGAUGAAGUAGGCGGAAUGUGUGGUGUAGCGGUGAAAUGCAUAGAUAUUACGCAGAACACCGAUUGCGAAGGCAGCUUGCUGGGCCGGAUCUGACACUGAUGCACGAAAGCGUGGGGAUCGAACAGGAUUAGAUACCCGAGUAGUC
This 460-nucleotide ribosomal RNA is filed under the name uncultured bacterium. RNAcentral's name for it is "partial 16S ribosomal RNA". It matches the Rfam family "Bacterial small subunit ribosomal RNA", at positions 338 to 795 of the family's 1533-position model. The record is from RNAcentral.